AGAGUUUGAUCCUGGCUCAGAACGAACGCUGGCGGCGCGCCUAAUACAUGCAAGUCGAGCGAGAAGACGUAGCAAUACGUUUGUAAAGCGGCGAACGGGUGAGGAAUACAUGGGUAACCUACCCUCGAGUGGGGAAUAACUAGCCGAAAGGUUAGCUAAUACCGCAUACGACUCUUGGUCUGCGGAUCAAGAGAGAAAGCGAUACCGUGGGUAUCGCGCUCCUGGAUGGGCUCAUGUCCUAUCAGCUUGUUGGUGAGGUAACGGCUCACCAAGGCUUCGACGGGUAGCUGGUCUGAGAGGACGAUCAGCCACACUGGCACUGCGACACGGGCCAGACUCCUACGGGAGGCAGCAGUAAGGAAUAUUGCGCAAUGGGCGACAGCCUGACGCAGCGACGCCGCGUGGGGGAUGAAGGUCUUCGGAUUGUAAACCCCUUUCGGCAGGGAAGAUGGAACGGGUAACCGUUCGGACGGUACCUGCAGAAGCAGCCACGGCUAACUUCGUGCCAGCAGCCGCGGUAAUACGAAGGUGGCAAGCGUUGUUCGGAUUUACUGGGCGUACAGGGAGCGUAGGCGGUUGGGUAAGCCCUUCGUGAAAUCUCCGGGCCUAACCCGGAAAGUGCGGAGGGGACUGCUCGGCUAGAGGAUGGGAGAGGAGCGCGGAAUUCCCGGUGUAGCGGUGAAAUGCGUAGAGAUCGGGAGGAAGGCC
RNAcentral lists this ribosomal RNA (708 nucleotides) under uncultured Nitrospira sp. Its description in RNAcentral is "bacterial SSU rRNA". It matches the Rfam family "Bacterial small subunit ribosomal RNA", at positions 8 to 710 of the family's 1533-position model. The record is from RNAcentral. Lineage: Bacteria; Pseudomonadati; Nitrospirota; Nitrospiria; Nitrospirales; Nitrospiraceae.